Molecule: long non-coding RNA, 174 nt
Organism: Thalassophryne amazonica
Lineage: Eukaryota; Metazoa; Chordata; Actinopteri; Batrachoidiformes; Batrachoididae
Exons: 3
Source: RefSeq, a predicted model, not a curated record
AGAGGGACUUGCUUUCUCUCUGCAAUGACCCAUUCACUGUUGCCCAGCAGCUGACCCACAUAGAGCUGGAACGACUGAGUUACAUUGGACCUGAAGAAUUUGUGCAAGCUUUCGUGCAGAAAGACCCUCUGAACAACAGUAAGAGCUGCUUCAGUGGCCAUAAGAAGGCGAACA